GGGGGAUUAGCUCAAGUGGUAGAGCGCGCGCUUCGCAUGCGUGAGGUAGCGGGAUCGAUGCCCACAUCCUCCA
Molecule: transfer RNA, 73 nt
Filed under: Paramuricea clavata
Lineage: Eukaryota; Metazoa; Cnidaria; Anthozoa; Malacalcyonacea; Plexauridae
Rfam family: tRNA
About the family: Transfer RNA (tRNA) molecules are approximately 80 nucleotides in length. Their secondary structure includes four short double-helical elements and three loops (D, anti-codon, and T loops).
Source: Rfam by way of RNAcentral